GGGUAGGAGUGAAAGGCUAAUCAAACCCCGUGAUAGCUGGUUCUCUUCGAAAUGCAUUUAGGUGCAGCGUCACGUGCUGAUGCGCGGGGGUAGAGCACUGACAAGGCUAGGGGGCACACCCGCUUACCAAACCUUAUCAAACUCCGAAUACCGUGCAAUGGAACGUGGCAGUGAGACAGUGGGGGAUAAGCUUCAUUGUCGAGAGGGAAACAACCCAGACCAGCAGCUAAGGUGCCUAAAUAACGCUCAGUGGAAAGGAUGUGGGAUUACACAGACAGUGAGGAUGUUGGCUUAGAAGCAGCCACCAUUUAAAAAAUGCGUAAUAGCUUACUCAUCGAGUGAUCCUGCGCCGAAAAUGAUUGGCGAUCAAGCGUUAUACCGAAGCUCUGGACUUUGCCGCAAGGCAGAGUGGUAGAAGAGCGUUGCAUGCGCGUCGAAGGGCGAUGGCGACUGACCCUGGAGCACAUGCAAGUGAGUAUGCAGACAUGAGUAACGUUAAGCCGGGUGAAAUCCCCGGCCGCCGUAAACCCGAGGUUUCCAGGGCAACGUGUUUCGUCCCUGGGUUAGCCGGGACCUAAGCCGAGGCCGAGAGGCGUAGGCGAUGGAUAUCAGGUUAAUAAUCCUGAGCUCGCAACCCUUAAACUGGGGGGACGCAUGAGAAAAGAUGACUAGGUUAUUGAAUUCCGAGUUGAGUCCACGGACUCAGCGCAUCAUUGGAUCGAGUGCCAAGAAAAGCCCCAGCGUAUGCUAAGCGACCCGUACCGCAAACCGACACAGGUGGGUGGGUAGAAUAUACCAAGGCGUAAGAGUGAAACCUGGUUAAGGAACUCGGCAAAUUAGCCCCGUAACUUCGGAAGAAGGGGUGCCUGCAGCGAUGCAGGCCGCAGAGAAAUGGCCCAACCGACUGUUUAUCAAAAACACAGCACUCUGCAAAGACGCAAGUCGAAGUAUAGGGUGUGACACGUGACCAAUGCCGAAAGAUUAAGGCAAGGGGUUAGCCGCAAGGCGAAGCUCUAAACCCAAGUCCCGGUGAAUGUCGGCCGUAACUAUAACGGUCCUAAGGUAGCGAAAUUCCUUGUCGGGUAAGUUCCGACCUGCACGAAUCGUGAAACGAGUUGGGCACUGUCUCAACCAGGCGCUCAGUGAAAUUGUAGUGGCGGUGAAGAUGCCGCCUACCCGCAGAAGGACGGAAAGACCCUAUAGACCUUAACUGUAAGCUGUCAUUGUUUCUUCGGUUUUAAUGCUCAGAGUAAGUGGGAGACGCUGAAGACGCCCUUUAGGGGGCGUCCGAGUCAUCAAUGAGACACCACCCUUUGAAACUGGAGGAUCUAACCCUGAGCCGUGAAUCCGGCCAGAGGACCGUGUCAGCCGGUCAGUUUUACUGGGGCGGUAUCCUCCCAAAGAGUAACGGAGGAGCGCGAAGGUGGGCUCAGCCCGGUUGGCAACCGGGUGUCGAGUGCAUGGGCAUAAGCCCGCCUAACUGUGAGACCAACAAGUCGAGCAGAUGCGAAAGCAGGCCCAAGUGAUCCGGCGGUAGAAAGUGGAAUUGCCGUCGCUCAACGGAUAAAAGGUACCUUAGGGAUAACAGGCUGAUCACGCCCAAGAGUUCAUAUCGACGGCGUGGUUUGGCACCUCGAUGUCGGCUCGUCGCAUCCUGGGGCUGUAGUAGGUCCCAAGGGUUGGGC
Molecule: ribosomal RNA, 1685 nt
Filed under: human gut metagenome
Description: bacterial LSU rRNA
Rfam family: Bacterial large subunit ribosomal RNA
Source: RNAcentral